This 435-nucleotide ribosomal RNA is filed under the name uncultured bacterium. Its description in RNAcentral is "partial 16S ribosomal RNA". It matches the Rfam family "Bacterial small subunit ribosomal RNA", at positions 28 to 507 of the family's 1533-position model. The record is from RNAcentral.
GAUGAACGCUGGCGGUAUGCUUAACACAUGCAAGUCGAACGGACUCUUCGGAGUUAGUGGCGGACGGGUGAGUAACGCGUGAGAAUCUGGCUUUGGGUUCGGGACAACCACUGGAAACGGUGGCUAAUACCGGAUGUGCCGAGAGGUAAAAGAGAAAUUGCCUGAAGAUGAGCUCGCGUCUGAUUAGCUAGUUGGUGAGGUAAAGGCUCACCAAGGCAGCGAUCAGUAGCUGGUCUGAGAGGAUGACCAGCCACACUGGGACUGAGGCACGGCCCAGACUUCUUCCGGAGGGCGCAGUGGGGAAUUUUUCGGCAAUGGCGGAAACCUUGCCGGGAAAUUCCGCCGUGGGGAAGGAGGCUCUUGGGGUGUAAACCUCUUUUCUUAGGGGAGAACCAAAUUGCGGGAACUAAGGAAUCAGCAUCGGCUAACUCCGUG